This 836-nucleotide long non-coding RNA is filed under the name Salvia miltiorrhiza (redroot sage). RNAcentral describes it as "long non-coding RNA (SMIL_LNC000793)". The record is from RNAcentral. Lineage: Eukaryota; Viridiplantae; Streptophyta; Magnoliopsida; Lamiales; Lamiaceae.
AUCGAGGGCCGGUGGUCUGCUUUGCCGGAGAAGAGCAGCAGUGGUGGUGAUUCCAAGAAGAGGUAGGGCUCGACUCUUGGUGGUGCGCUCGAAUCAAGGUCAAUGUGACGGAGGGGCGUCGAAGACAGUCAACCUCCGGACGUUGCCUUGCCAGAAAAAUAGAGGUCAGCUGUUGCGGUGGUUUCCACUGAUUUAUGGUGAGGCCACCUCGACUUAUCUUUUUUUUUUGUAAUCUCCUGAUUUUAAGAGUGAAGGAAGAUAUGUAUUUGUUUUGUUGGGUUAGUAUGGUUGUCGCCUGAGCGCAUGUUUGCCUGGCAGGUAUGGGAGCUGCCCAACCUAUUUUGAAGGCUCUUGUUGCUGUGUGGAGGAUGUUUGGCUGGGAGGUGUUGGAGAGUGUUGGGCUUAUGCCCGGAUGAUGGUUGGUAUCUGCCCGUGAGGUUGUUUGGCUCCUGCCCAAAUGGUGACAUGGAAACUAGGAGCUGCCCUUUUUCAGGAGAAGGGUGGCAGCAGAGCUGAUGGAGCUCGGUGUCGUCCUUGGCAGGCUGGCUGCACAGUUGGUUACCUUAUUCUUGUUGUCAGGAAAGGAAGAUAUAGAGGAAGUGUAGGGUUUAUUGUAAUGUUGGGAUGGCUGAUAUGGCUAGAUAGUAGAUAUUUUGUCUUUAUUGGUGUAUACCUACUACUGUAAAUGUAAAGCAAUAAGACGUUUGAACUAAUAAUAUUGUUUGACUUAGUGGGCUUAUGGUUUAUUUUGCAAAAAGUUUAGUUUGUCAGACGUGCUUUUACUUUUGAAUUUACUCUACUUUGUAAAUGUUCACUGUACUUGCAUAUUAAUACCG